Molecule: ribosomal RNA, 433 nt
Filed under: uncultured bacterium
Lineage: Bacteria
Description: partial 16S ribosomal RNA
Rfam family: Bacterial small subunit ribosomal RNA
Source: RNAcentral
AACGAACGCUGGCGGCAUGCCUAACACAUGCAAGUCGAACGAGACCUUCGGGUCUAGUGGCGCACGGGUUCGUAACGCGUGGGAACCUUCCCUUAGGUUCGGAAUAACUCCCCGAAAGGGGUGCUAAUACCGGAUAAUGUCUUCGGACCAAAGAUUUAUCGCCUUUGGAUGGGCCCGCGUUGGAUUAGCUCGUUGGUAGGGUAAAAGCCUACCAAGGCGACGAUCCAUAGCUGGUCUGAGAGGAUGAUCAGCCACACUGGGACUGUGACACGGCCCAGACUCCUACGGGAGGCAGCAGUGGGGAAUAUUGGACAAUGGGCGAAAGCCUGAUGCAGCAAUGACGCGUGAGUGAUGAAGGCCUUAGGGUUGUAAAGCUCUUUUACCCGGGAUGAUAAUGACAGUACCGGGAGAAUAAGCCCCGGCUAACUACGUG